Molecule: transfer RNA, 507 nt
Filed under: uncultured bacterium
Lineage: Bacteria
Description: partial contains ITS between 16S rRNA and 23S rRNA
Source: RNAcentral
GUAUACGCUUAGUCGCUUGACCAUAUAACCCCAAGUCGCCUCGGGGCCAUAUACAUCCAGCCACUUCGUUUCGCCUUAACACUUAUCUCGGUUCGGUUUGAACCAGGACGCUUGUCACUCGUUUACAUGUUUUCAAAGAACACCACACCGGCCUCAAUGCCGGAUGGCUUCAAAUUCAAUCUUUGUGUGCGUACACAUCCAUUUAAACCGAAACUGGUGGAGCCUGUCGGGAUCGAACCGACGACCCUCUGCUUGCAAAGCAGAUGCUCUCCCAGCUGAGCUAAGGCCCCAUAAGUGAUCUCAAGUGGUGGGUCUGGGUGGACUCGAACCACCGACCUCACCCUUAUCAGGGGUGCGCUCUAACCACCUGAGCUACAGACCCAUAAGGCUUGGCUUACGGCUUGCGCCCCCAAUGGGACGCGUGGAUGUGCAGGUGACUUGUGUGGAAGCCUUGCGAUGAAACGAGCGUCGUUUCUCGAAAGGAGGUGAUCCAGCCGCACCUUCCGA